CAUUUGUGAUUUUCUCCUAAUCGAAAGAAAAAGUAAUUCAAGAAGGGAAAAAUUAGUUCAGUUGCGUGACUAACUAUUAGCAUGCAACACCGUCCUUCCGGACGACAUGGAACCAACGAAACUUGUUUCGUAAACUUCCCAACAUUGUGAUUAGACGUAGCCCAUUUCUCUUCUACUUGAUCGUCGACUAAUUGUGCCUUGAAUGUCUUCUACGUGGUGCGCAAUAAAAACAACCAAACGAUUGCCAUUUCCCUUUCUUUCUGGUUGUACUGGUUGGUUUAAAAUCUACCAUGGCUUCGUCAUCACCCUUAAGACAUGUUCAUCAUUAAUCCCGUCACUGCCCGGCGAGUCCUUCGCAAAAGCAAGCGCCAGUGUACUGGAUACAGCCGGUAUCUUUACAUAAAAUCUUCUUGAAUGCAUUGUGGUCUUCUACCUUUUACUUCGCCGCUGGACGGACGACAGCGUAAACAUAGGGCAAGAGAAUGGUGACGUUAAAA
Daphnia magna is the source of this 497-nucleotide long non-coding RNA. RefSeq lists it as uncharacterized. Lineage: Eukaryota; Metazoa; Arthropoda; Branchiopoda; Diplostraca; Daphniidae. The record is from RefSeq and is a predicted model, not a curated record. The transcript has 2 exons.